Molecule: ribosomal RNA, 490 nt
Filed under: uncultured bacterium
Lineage: Bacteria
Description: partial 16S ribosomal RNA
Rfam family: Bacterial small subunit ribosomal RNA
Source: RNAcentral
UGAACGCUGGCGGUAGGCCUAACACAUGCAAGUCGAACGGCAGCACAGUAAGAGCCUGCUCUUACGGGUGGCGAGUGGCGGACGGGUGAGGAAUACAUCGGAAUCUACUUUUUCGUGGGGGAUAACGUAGGGAAACUUACGCUAAUACCGCAUACGACCUACGGGUGAAAGCAGGGGAUCUUCGGACCUUGCGCGAUUGAAUGAGCCGAUGUCGGAUUAGCUAGUUGGUGGGGUAAAGGCCCACCAAGGCGACGAUCCGUAGCUGGUCUGAGAGGAUGAUCAGCCACACUGGAACUGAGACACGGUCCAGACUCCUACGGGAGGCAGCAGUGGGGAAUAUUGGACAAUGGGCGCAAGCCUGAUCCAGCCAUACCGCGUGGGUGAAGAAGGCCUUCGGGUUGUAAAGCCCUUUUGUUGGGAAAGAAAAGCAGCAGGUUAAUACCCCGCUGUUCUGACGGUACCCAAAGAAUAAGCACCGGCUAACUUCGUG